UACGUAGGGUGCAGGCGUUAAUCGGAAUUACUGGGCGUAGAGCGUGCGCAGGCGGUUUCUUAAGUCAGAUGUGAAAGCCCCGGGCUUAACCUGGGAACUGCGUUUGAAACUGGGAGACUUGAGUGUGGCAGAGGGGGGUGGAAUUCCACGUGUAGCAGUGAAAUGCGUAGAUAUGUGGAGGAACACCGAUGGCGAAGGCAGCCCCCUGGGUUAACACUGACGCUCAUGCACGAAAGCGUGGGGAGCAAACAGG
RNAcentral lists this ribosomal RNA (253 nucleotides) under uncultured bacterium. RNAcentral's name for it is "partial 16S ribosomal RNA". It matches the Rfam family "Bacterial small subunit ribosomal RNA", at positions 524 to 776 of the family's 1533-position model. The record is from RNAcentral.